Molecule: non-coding RNA, 135 nt
Filed under: Clostridium carboxidivorans
Lineage: Bacteria; Bacillati; Bacillota; Clostridia; Eubacteriales; Clostridiaceae
Also listed under: 1 other name
Description: MoCo sequence
Rfam family: Molybdenum/Tungsten riboswitch aptamer (Moco RNA motif)
Source: RNAcentral
AAAUGAGUUAGUCUCCGAGCUUAUGAUCCUAAGGAUAUUUCUACGGAUUAUGAGCCUGGACUAUGAGUCCACAGGGUACUUUAGGAAACAAAAGUGCCUCCACGUUUUUAGGAAAGGAGAUGGGUUAAAAUUGUA